GUGGGGAAUUUUGGACAAUGGGCGCAAGCCUGAUCCAGCAAUGCCGCGUGCAGGAAGAAGGCCUUCGGGUUGUAAACUGCUUUUGUACGGAACGAAACGGUCCUGGCUAAUAUCCGGGGCUAAUGACGGUACCGUGAGAAUAAGCACCGGCUAACUACGUGCCAGCAGCCGCGGUAAUACGUAGGGUGCGAGCGUUAAUCGGAAUUACUGGGCGUAAAGCGUGCGCAGGCGGUGCUGUAAGACAGGCGUGAAAUCCCCGGGCUCAGCCUGUGAAUUGCGCUUGUGACUGCAGUGCUGGAGUGCGGCAGAGGGGGAUGGAAUUCCGCGUGUAGCAGUGAAAUGCGUAGAUAUGCGGAGGAACACCGAUGGCGAAGGCAAUCCCCUGGGCCUGCACUGACGCUCAUGCACGAAAGCGUGGGGAGCAAACAGGAUUAGAUACCCCGGUAGUCC
RNAcentral lists this ribosomal RNA (450 nucleotides) under uncultured bacterium. Its description in RNAcentral is "partial 16S ribosomal RNA". It matches the Rfam family "Bacterial small subunit ribosomal RNA", at positions 354 to 796 of the family's 1533-position model. The record is from RNAcentral.